This 253-nucleotide ribosomal RNA is filed under the name uncultured bacterium. RNAcentral's name for it is "partial 16S ribosomal RNA". It matches the Rfam family "Bacterial small subunit ribosomal RNA", at positions 524 to 776 of the family's 1533-position model. The record is from RNAcentral.
UACGGGGGGGGCAAGCGUUGUUCGGAAUUACUGGGCGUAAAGGGCUCGUAGGUGGCCAACUAAGUCAUACGUGAAAUCCCUCGGCUUAACCGGGGAACUGCGUCUGAUACUGGAUGGCUCGAGUUUGGGAGAGGGAUGCGGAAUUCCAGGUGUAGCGGUGAAAUGCGUAGAUAUCUGGAGGAACACCGGUGGCGAAGGCGGCAUUCUGGACCAAUACUGACGCUGAGGAGCGAAAGCCAGGGGAGCAAACGGG